GAAUAUUGGUCAAUGGACGAGAGUCUGAACCAGCCAAGUAGCGUGAAGGAUGACUGCCCUAUGGGUUGUAAACUUCUUUUAUAUGGGAAUAAAGUAUUCCACGUGUGGGAUUUUGUAUGUACCAUAUGAAUAAGGAUCGGCUAACUCCGUGCCAGCAGCCGCGGUAAUACGGAGGAUCCGAGCGUUAUCCGGAUUUAUUGGGUUUAAAGGGAGCGUAGAUGGAUGUUUAAGUCAGUUGUGAAAGUUUGCGGCUCAACCGUAAAAUUGCAGUUGAUACUGGAUAUCUUGAGUGCAGUUGAGGCAGGCGGAAUUCGUGGUGUAGCGGUGAAAUGCUUAGAUAUCACGAAGAACUCCGAUUGCGAAGGCAGCCUGCUAAGCUGCAACUGACAUUGAGGCUCGAAAGUGUGGGUAUCAAACAGGAUUAGAUACCCUGGUAGUCCACACAGUAAACGAUGAAUACUCGCUGUUGGCGAUAUACGGUCAGCGGCCAAGCGAAAGCAUUAAGUAUUCCACCUGGGGAGUACGCCGGCAACGGUGAAACUCAAAGGAAUUGACGGGGGCUCGCACAAGCGGAGGAACAUGUGGUUUAAUUCGAUGAUACGCGAGGAACCUUACCCGGGCUUAAAUUGCAACUGACUGAAUCGGAAACGGUUCUUUCUUCGGACAGUUGUGAAGGUGCUGCAUGGUUGUCGUCAGCUCGUGCCGUGAGGUGUCGGCUUAAGUGCCAUAACGAGCGCAACCCUUACGGGUAGUUACCAUCAGGUUAUGCUGGGGACUCUACCCGGACUGCCGUCGUAAGAUGUGAGGAAGGUGGGGAUGACGUCAAAUCAGCACGGCCCUUACGUCCGGGGCUACACACGUGUUACAAUGGGGGGUACAGAAGGCAGCUACACGGCGACGUGGUGCUAAUCCCAAAAGCCUCUCUCAGUUCGGAUUGGAGUCUGCAACCCGACUCCAUGAAGCUGGAUUCGCUAGUAAUCGCGCAUCAGCCACGGCGCGGUGAAUACGUUCCCG
Molecule: ribosomal RNA, 1014 nt
Filed under: uncultured bacterium
Lineage: Bacteria
Description: bacterial SSU rRNA
Rfam family: Bacterial small subunit ribosomal RNA
Source: RNAcentral